This 363-nucleotide ribosomal RNA is filed under the name Methylorubrum extorquens. Its description in RNAcentral is "bacterial SSU rRNA". It matches the Rfam family "Bacterial small subunit ribosomal RNA", at positions 1168 to 1531 of the family's 1533-position model. Lineage: Bacteria; Pseudomonadati; Pseudomonadota; Alphaproteobacteria; Hyphomicrobiales; Methylobacteriaceae. The record is from RNAcentral.
GGAAGGUGGGGAUGACGUCAAGUCCUCAUGGCCCUUACGGGAUGGGCUACACACGUGCUACAAUGGCGGUGACAGUGGGACGCGAAGCCGCGAGGUUGAGCAAAUCCCCAAAAGCCGUCUCAGUUCGGAUUGCACUCUGCAACUCGGGUGCAUGAAGGCGGAAUCGCUAGUAAUCGUGGAUCAGCACGCCACGGUGAAUACGUUCCCGGGCCUUGUACACACCGCCCGUCACACCAUGGGAGUUGGUCUUACCCGACGGCGCUGCGCCAACCGCAAGGAGGCAGGCGACCACGGUAGGGUCAGCGACUGGGGUGAAGUCGUAACAAGGUAGCCGUAGGGGAACCUGCGGUUGGAUCACCUCCU